GACGAACGCUGGCGGCAGGCUUAACACAUGCAAGUCGAGCGGGGAAGGGUAGCUUGCUACCUAACCUAGCGGCGGACGGGUGAGUAAUGCUUAGGAAUCUGCCAUUUAGUGGGGGACAACAUUCCGAAAGGAAUGCUAAUACCGCAUACGUCCUACGGGAGAAAGCAGGGGAUCUUCGGACCUUGCGCUAAAUGAUGAGCCUAAGUCGGAUUAGCUAGUUGGUGGGGUAAAGGCCUACCAAGGCGACGAUCUGUAGCGGGUCUGAGAGGAUGAUCCGCCACACUGGGACUGAGACACGGCCCAGACUCCUACGGGAGGCAGCAGUGGGGAAUAUUGGACAAUGGGCGAAAGCCUGAUCCAGCCAUGCCGCGUGUGUGAAGAAGGCCUUUUGGUUGUAGAGCACUUUAAGCGAGGAGGAGGCUACUAGUACUAAUACUACUGGAUAGUGGACGUUACUCGCAGAAUAAGCACCGGCUAACUCUGUGCCAGCCGCCGCCGUAA
RNAcentral lists this ribosomal RNA (501 nucleotides) under uncultured bacterium. Its description in RNAcentral is "partial 16S ribosomal RNA". It matches the Rfam family "Bacterial small subunit ribosomal RNA", at positions 28 to 523 of the family's 1533-position model. The record is from RNAcentral.